This 514-nucleotide ribosomal RNA is filed under the name uncultured bacterium. RNAcentral describes it as "bacterial SSU rRNA". It matches the Rfam family "Bacterial small subunit ribosomal RNA", at positions 9 to 517 of the family's 1533-position model. The record is from RNAcentral.
GAGUUUGAUCGUGGCUCAGAUUGAACGCUGGCGGCAGGCCUAACACAUGCAAGUCGGGCGGUAGAGAGAAGCUUGCUUCUCUUGAGAGCGGCGGACGGGUGAGUAAUGCCUAGGAAUCUGCCUGGUAGCGGGGGAUAACGCUCGGAAACGGACGCUAAUACCGCAUACGUCCUACGGGAGAAAGCAGGGGACCUUCGGGCCUUGCGCUAUCAGAUGAGCCUAGGUCGGAUUAGCUAGUUGGUGAGGUAAUGGCUCACCAAGGCGACGAUCCGUAACUGGUCUGAGAGGAUGAUCAGUCACACUGGAACUGAGACACGGUCCAGACUCCUACGGGAGGCAGCAGUGGGGAAUAUUGGACAAUGGGCGAAAGCCUGAUCCAGCCAUGCCGCGUGUGUGAAGAAGGUCUUCGGAUUGUAAAGCACUUUAAGUUGGGAGGAAGGGCAGUAAAUUAAUACUUUGCUGUUUUUGACGUUACCGACAGAAUAAGCACCGGCUAACUCUGUGCCAGCAGCCG